UAGGGAAUCUUCGGCAAUGGACGCAAGUCUGACGGAGCAACGCCGCGUGAGUGAAGAAGGAGUUCGGUUCGUAAAACUCUGUUGUUAGAGAAGAACAGCGCAUAGAGUAACUGUUAUGCGUGGUACGGUAUCUAACAAGAAAGCCACGGCUAACUACGUGCCAGCAGCCGCGGUAAUACGUAGGUGGCAAGCGUUGUCCGGAUUUAUUGGGCGUAAAGCGAGCGCAGGCGGUCAAUUAAGUCUGAUGUGAAAGCCCCCGGCUUAACCGGGGAGGGUCAUUGGAAACUGGUUGACUUGAGUGCAGAAGAGGAGGGUGGAAUUCAAUGUGUAGCGGUGAAAUGCGUAGAUAUAUGGAAGAACACCAGUGGCGAAGGCGACUCUCUGGUCUGUAACUGACGCUGAGGCUCGAAAGCGUGGGUAGCAAACAGG
This 429-nucleotide ribosomal RNA is filed under the name Bacteroidota bacterium. Its description in RNAcentral is "Bacteroidetes bacterium partial 16S ribosomal RNA". It matches the Rfam family "Bacterial small subunit ribosomal RNA", at positions 355 to 776 of the family's 1533-position model. The record is from RNAcentral. Lineage: Bacteria; Pseudomonadati; Bacteroidota.